This 29-nucleotide non-coding RNA is filed under the name Mus musculus (house mouse). Lineage: Eukaryota; Metazoa; Chordata; Mammalia; Rodentia; Muridae. The record is from RNAcentral.
UGAGUGUUCCAGUUCAUAUCUCUUUCAGG